Molecule: ribosomal RNA, 266 nt
Filed under: uncultured bacterium
Lineage: Bacteria
Description: partial 16S small subunit ribosomal RNA
Rfam family: Bacterial small subunit ribosomal RNA
Source: RNAcentral
UGCCUUUAGUUGCCAGCAUUAAGUUGGGCACUCUAGAGGGACUGCCAGGGAUAACCUGGAGGAAGGUGGGGAUGACGUCAAAUCAUCAUGCCCCUUAUGCUUAGGGCUACACACGUGCUACAAUGGGUGGUACAGAGGGCAGCCAAGUCGUGAGGCGGAGCUAAUCCCUUAAAGCCAUUCUCAGUUCGGAUUGUAGGCUGAAACUCGCCUACAUGAAGCUGGAGUUACUAGUAAUCGCAGAUCAGAAUGCUGCGGUGAAUGCGUUC